GAUGAACGCUGGCGGCGUGCCUAAUACAUGCCAGUCGAGCGAACGGACGAGAAGCUUGCUUCUCUGAUGUUAGCGGCGGACGGGUGAGUAACACGUGGAUAACCUACCUAUAAGACUGGGAUAACUUCGGGAAACCGGAGCUAAUACCGGAUGAUAUUUUGAACCGCAUGGUUCAAAAGUGAAAGACGGUCUUGCUGUCACUUAUAGAUGGAUCCGCGCUGCAUUAGCUAGUUGGUAAGGUAAUGGCUUACCAAGGCAACGAUGCAUAGCCGACCUGAGAGGGUGGUCGGCCACACUGGAACUGAGACACGGUCCAGACUCCUACGGGAGGCAGCAGUAGGGAAUCUUCCGCAAUGGGCGAAAGCCUGACGGAGCAACGCCGCGUGAGUGAUGAAGGUCUUCGGAUCGUAAAACUCUGUUAUUAGGGAAGAACAUAUGUGUAAGUAACUGUGCACAUCUUGACGGUACCUAAUCAGAAAGCCACGGCUAACUACGUG
Molecule: ribosomal RNA, 497 nt
Filed under: uncultured bacterium
Lineage: Bacteria
Description: partial 16S ribosomal RNA
Rfam family: Bacterial small subunit ribosomal RNA
Source: RNAcentral